This 490-nucleotide ribosomal RNA is filed under the name uncultured bacterium. RNAcentral describes it as "partial 16S ribosomal RNA". It matches the Rfam family "Bacterial small subunit ribosomal RNA", at positions 30 to 507 of the family's 1533-position model. The record is from RNAcentral.
AUUGAACGCUGGCGGCAGGCCUAACACAUGCAAGUCGAACGGUAACGGGAAGAAGCUUGCUUCUUUGCUGACGAGUGGCGGACGGGUGAGUAAUGUCUGGGAACUUGCUUGAUGGAGGGGGUAACUUACGGGAACCGGAAGUAAUACCCGCAUAACGUCGCAAGCCCAAAAAGGGGGACUUCCGGGCCGUUUUCCUUUGGAUUAUCCCAGGUUGGAUUAGCCAGUAGGUGGGGUAACGGCUAACAUAGUCAACGAUCCCUAGCUGGUCUGAGAGGAUGACCAGCCACACUGGAACUGAGACACGGUCCAGACUCCUACGGGAGGCAGCAGUGGGGAAUAUUGCACAAUGGGCGAAAGCCUGAUGCAGCCAUGCCGCGUGUAUGAAGAAGGCCUUCGGAUUGUAAAGUACUUUCAGCGGGGAGGAAGGGAGUAAAGUUAAUACCUUUGCUCAUUGACGUUACCCGCAGAAGAAGCACCGGCUAACUCCGUG